GUCUACGGCCAUACCACCCUGAACACGCCCGAUCUCGUCUGAUCUUGGAAGCUAAGCAGGGUCGGGCCUGGUUAGUACUUGGAUGGGAGAACAUAAGGUCCUAGCCC
RNAcentral lists this ribosomal RNA (107 nucleotides) under Erinaceus europaeus (western European hedgehog). The record is from RNAcentral. Lineage: Eukaryota; Metazoa; Chordata; Mammalia; Eulipotyphla; Erinaceidae.